RNAcentral lists this transfer RNA (77 nucleotides) under Proteus vulgaris. Its description in RNAcentral is "tRNA-Ala". It matches the Rfam family "tRNA". From Rfam's summary of the family: Transfer RNA (tRNA) molecules are approximately 80 nucleotides in length. The record is from RNAcentral. Lineage: Bacteria; Pseudomonadati; Pseudomonadota; Gammaproteobacteria; Enterobacterales; Morganellaceae.
GGGGCUAUAAGCUCAGUUGGGAGAGCGCUUGCAUGGCAUGCAAGAGGUCAGCGGUUCGAUCCCGCUUAGCUCCACCA